UACGUAGGGUGCGAGCGUUGUCCGGAAUUAUUGGGCGUAAAGAGCUUGUAGGCGGUUUGUCGCGUCUGCCGUGAAAAUCCGGGGCUCAACCCCGGACUUGCGGUGGGUACGGGCAGUCUAGAGUGUGGUAGGGGAGACUGGAAUUCCUGGUGUAGCGGUGAAAUGCGCAGAUAUCAGGAGGAACACCGAUGGCGAAGGCAGGUCUCUGGGCCACUACUGACGCUGAGAAGCGAAAGCGUGGGGAGCGAACAGG
This 253-nucleotide ribosomal RNA is filed under the name uncultured bacterium. Its description in RNAcentral is "partial 16S ribosomal RNA". It matches the Rfam family "Bacterial small subunit ribosomal RNA", at positions 524 to 776 of the family's 1533-position model. The record is from RNAcentral.